Molecule: ribosomal RNA, 404 nt
Filed under: uncultured Sphingobacteriales bacterium
Lineage: Bacteria; Pseudomonadati; Bacteroidota; Sphingobacteriia; Sphingobacteriales
Description: bacterial SSU rRNA
Rfam family: Bacterial small subunit ribosomal RNA
Source: RNAcentral
UGGCUUAAAUGUAGAGUGCAUUUUUAGAGAUAGAAAUUCCCUUCGGGGCUUUCUGCAAGGUGCUGCAUGGUUGUCGUCAGCUCGUGCCGUGAGGUGUCGGGUUAAGUCCCAUAACGAGCGCAACCCUUAUCGUUAGUUGCCAUCUGGUAAUGCAGGGGACUCUAGCGAAACUGCCACCGUAAGGUGAGAGGAAGGUGGGGAUGACGUCAAAUCAGCACGGCCCUUAUGUCCAGGGCUACACACGUGUUACAAUGGCCGGCACAGAGGGCAGCUACCUGGUGACAGGAUGCUAAUCUCGAAAACCGGUCUCAGUUCGGAUCGAAGUCUGCAACUCGACUUCGUGAAGCUGGAUUCGCUAGUAAUCGCGCAUCAGCCAUGGCGCGGUGAAUACGUUCCCGGGCCUU